AGCAGCCGCGGUAAUUCCAGCUCCAAUAGCGUAUAUUAAAGUUGUUGCAGUUAAAAAGCUCGUAGUUGAAUUUCGGAGUUUGUCGGUUGGUCGGGCUUCACUGUCCGCACUGGCCUGAUGGAUUCCUACCUUCUGAAUAACCAGCAUGCUAUUAAGUUAGUGCGUUGGGGAAGCAGAGCUAUUACCUUGAAAAAAUUAGAGUGCUUAAAGCAGGCUUUUGCUUGAAUAGAUUAGCAUGGAAUAAUAAAAUAGGACGGCAUGGUUCUAUUUUGUUGGUU
This 278-nucleotide ribosomal RNA is filed under the name Glomeromycota sp. RNAcentral's name for it is "partial small subunit ribosomal RNA". It matches the Rfam family "Eukaryotic small subunit ribosomal RNA", at positions 569 to 849 of the family's 1831-position model. Lineage: Eukaryota; Fungi; Glomeromycota. The record is from RNAcentral.